GAAACGUGUCCGGUAGCGCCAAAAAGAAGGAAAAAAAAAAAGGAGAAAGAAGAAAAUCCACCCGCCGCGAUGCGAGGAGAUCGGAGGGGAAGUGGUGGAGGUUUUGUGUUUGCCCUCGGGGUAACGCACAGAGAAGCAGCGUCGCUUAUGCGAGAUGUUGAUGGAAUUUAUGUAUUAAAAAAAAAGAGAAAAGCCCCUUUUCAAGAAUAAAGUGUAUCAAGUUACAGCCCAGCAGACGGCAGAGGGAUAAGUGAAACAGACAAAAGACAAACAAGAUAAUAAUCUGUUUCCAAUCAGUUAAGCCCUGUAGAAUUUGUAAUACGCGGUUUGCAUAUUC
Molecule: long non-coding RNA, 337 nt
Organism: Pezoporus flaviventris
Lineage: Eukaryota; Metazoa; Chordata; Aves; Psittaciformes; Psittacidae
Exons: 2
Source: RefSeq, a predicted model, not a curated record